Molecule: ribosomal RNA, 508 nt
Filed under: uncultured bacterium
Lineage: Bacteria
Description: partial 16S ribosomal RNA
Rfam family: Bacterial small subunit ribosomal RNA
Source: RNAcentral
GACGAACGCUGGCGGCGUGCCUAAUACAUGCAAGUCGAACGCUUCUUUCCUCCCGAGUGCUUGCACUCAAUUGGAAAGAGGAGUGGCGGACGGGUGAGUAACACGUGGGUAACCUACCCAUCAGAGGGGGAUAACACUUGGAAACAGGUGCUAAUACCGCAUAACAGUUUAUGCCGCAUGGCAUAAGAGUGAAAGGCGCUUUCGGGUGUCGCUGAUGGAUGGACCCGCGGUGCAUUAGCUAGUUGGUGAGGUAACGGCUCACCAAGGCCACGAUGCAUAGCCGUCCUGAGAGGGUGAUCGGCCACACUGGGACUGAGACACGGCCCAGACUCCUACGGGAGGCAGCAGUAGGGAAUCUUCGGCAAUGGACGAAAGUCUGACCGAGCAACGCCGCGUGAGUGAAGAAGGUUUUCGGAUCGUAAAACUCUGUUGUUAGAGAAGAACAAGGACGUUAGUAACUGAACGUCCCCUGACGGUAUCUAACCAGAAAGCCACGGCUAACUACGUG